RNAcentral lists this unclassified non-coding RNA (58 nucleotides) under Mus musculus (house mouse). Its description in RNAcentral is "partial derived from hnRNA or mRNA fragment, or novel small non-messenger RNA without known sequence-or structural motifs". Lineage: Eukaryota; Metazoa; Chordata; Mammalia; Rodentia; Muridae. The record is from RNAcentral.
GAGCUUUCUCAUGAAAGAAUUUUAAUUGAACAAUUGUCUGUAUUUUACCUUGUACCAU